AGGAAGCACCGGCUAACUCCGUGCCAGCAGCCGCGGUAAUACGGGGGGUGCGAGCGUUGUUCGGAAUUAUUGGGCGUAAAGAGCGUGUAGGCUGCCUGAUGUGUCAGAUGUGAAAGCCCUGGGCUUAACCCAGGAAGUGCAUUUGAAACUGUCGGGCUUGAGUAGGGGAGGGGGAAGUGGAAUUCCUGGUGUAGAGGUGAAAUUCGUAGAUAUCAGGAGGAACACCGGUGGCGAAGGCGACUUCCUGGCCCUAUACUGACGCUGAGACGCGAGAGCGUGGGUAGCAAACAGGAUUAGAUACCCUGGUAGUCCACGCUGUAAACGAUGUUCACUAGGUGUUGGGGGUAUUGACCCCCUCAGUGCCGGAGCUAACGCG
RNAcentral lists this ribosomal RNA (376 nucleotides) under uncultured delta proteobacterium. RNAcentral describes it as "bacterial SSU rRNA". It matches the Rfam family "Bacterial small subunit ribosomal RNA", at positions 485 to 859 of the family's 1533-position model. The record is from RNAcentral. Lineage: Bacteria; Deltaproteobacteria.